UGAAAAUGAAGCCACAUAGUAAAUUUUGCCUUGAUCGUGCAUCAUACUCAAACAUCAAGCAUUUCCAAGGCGUAGAUGGUUCAACAGGAAGGAGAGCAUGGUAGAAAUGUUUGAUGAGGUUAUGAGAGAAAGUUGAAACCUGACAAACUAAAGCAACAAUGUCUCUAGCAGAUAUGAUUUGUUUGAUCAUCCAAGAUGCCUUAGGAACCUCAUUGAAAAGUCUGUCUUUUAUAUAGCAUGUAUGAACCCAUCUCACCCAUUUGUCCGCUUUAUUGUCUACAUCUUGCAAUAACAAUUUUGUUCCAGAAUCUCUAGUUAAUCAGAUUUAGUCCUCCUGUGGCAAUAGGUGAGCAAACCUUAUCCCAUGCUACUAAUGCCUUUUUAGUGAUUGUGUUUGCCCCAUACCACAUAUAACUCUGACAAUACGCAUCAAUCACUUUGACAACUUUAGUAGGAAUUGUAAAGAGUUGAGCCCAAUAGGCCUGCAUGCCAAACAACACGGAUUGAAUCAUUUGUUCUCGCUUAUUAUUCUAUUAUUUUCUAUUUGGACCCUUGUAAUUGAAUGAGACACAGUAGUAAUUUAUUUUUUUAAUAAAUCUCACCUUGUUUCUUUUUAUUUAUUUCUUAUAUUGAAAUUAAUUACUUUUUACUUAUUAAUUUUAGUAAAGCACGAAAGAUUUUUACAUUUUUUUAUACUUCCUCCGUCUCAUUUUACUCGUCUCAAUUUGGCAUUGCAUAUUGAUUAAGAAAAAUAAUUAAUAACAUACCUACUUUACCAUCGCAUCCCUAUUAAAUUAUGUUUACAUUUUAAUUUGGAGAAAAAAAUAAUUAAUACUAAGGGUAAAAAAGAAAAGAAAAAGUUGUCUUGUCUUGAUUAAUGAAAAAUGACAAGUAAAAUAAAAAAUUAAAUUAAGAAAUCUUAGACGAGUAAAAUGGGAUGAAGGAAGUAUCAUUUUUAUUAUUAAGUAACUGUAUAUGUCACACCCCUUUUUAACUCCAAGAAAAAUUAUUUUUAUGGGUUUCGAAAGGAUUUUAUUUAUUAAAGUGACAAAAAUGAGGAUUUAUUUCGAAAAAGAAUUAUUUAUAUUUUUUAUUCAGAGUCGUCACUUGACAUAAUCCGGUGUGCCAAGUCACCUUUGGAGAAUCCUUUUCGAAAUGAUUUGACUCUUUACAAAACUGGUUUGCGACAAAGAUUCCGGCUAAGAAAUUCUGUUGACCGAGGGGAAGGUGUUAGGCAUCCCUCGAUCCCAUGGUUCGCCCACGGUCGCUUGGUGGAGCAUAUCAGCUAAUUUGACAUUACAAAUGCAUAAUCCACACAAAAACACAUAAACAAUCAAUCAAACACGAAACAAAACAAAUCCAAAAUAUAGUGUUCAGUCCAAUUAUACAGUUCAAAAUAAAAAAUGCGAAAAAAUAAAUCCUAUUCUAACCUACACUAAUCCUAAACUAUGCUCCAGUGCUUUACCUGAUGCCUCGAUCCUUCGUCACGGGCGUCUUCCGAGUACAAAAUACCGCGGGGCAUUUCCCGGCGAAUAAACACAAAUAUCUCAGGGCAUUUUCCGCCAAAUAAUACAUUUGAUCCAAAAGCAAUAAAACCAAGCCAUUCAACACAUGUUUCGAGCAUUCAACAUUCCACAAUUCCUAAAACUUGCCAACCCGAACCUACUAUUUGCCUACCCAACUCGAUCUAUCAUGGCACUAUCACGAUCGACGACGUCAAUGAAUCAAAACAACAAAAAAAUUAAAAUUAAUCCUAAUUAAGAUUAGCAAUUUUUCAAUUCCGCUCCAAAUUCAUUCUCAACCAAUGAUUAACACAUGCAUCGAUUAUCAAUUCAUUUUUCAACAUUCAAAUCCAACAUCAACCAAUACACAAUCAAGAUUCAAACAUACCAACACAUAAAUCAUUCACGAUUACGUAAAAAUUAAAAAAAGAGGAGAUAGAAUUGGACCUCAGUGCUUUCAAAAAUCGAUGUAUUAUUUCGAUUAACCUGGUAGAAUCCGCAUCCAAAAUCCUCGAACAAAACCCUCCAUCACGAUCAAGAAUCCAACUCGGUAUCAAGAAAGUGAACCCAAAACUGAUUACGGUGAAUUGAUUGGGACGAAACAGAAUCUAAAUCCAAAAAUCAGUUCAAAGACAGAUGAGCCAAGACCAAAAUUGCAACAGAGUAAAUCGAACCCGUCAAAAUUCUCAGCAAACAAACUCACAACUUGAACAAAAAACCCCCAAAAACCCGAACUUACCCAAACAAUCCCACUGAACCUUUUCGAUUUUUAUCUUUUUCCGAUGAAAGUUGACCAGAAUAAAAUGAAACGACUCAAAGUUUUAUGGAUUAGACGGCUGACUUACUUUUCGACGAGAUUCAGAUGGAAAAUCGGGAUCGGUAUUAACUUCUUGAUGCGAGCAUGGUUGGAACGAGAUUAGCGGAGCUUUCUCGGUGGCAAUUCUAGUGAGUCACCAGCGAGAGCUUUGUCGGAAAGCAGUCCAAUUGCCUCUCUGUCUCUCUCUCAAUCUCUCUGGUUUGCUUAAAUCUCUCUUACCUUCAACGAUUUCUCACAGUUUCUCUUUUAACUCUCUAUGCCUCUCUCCAUCUCUUACUCUCACUCUCCUCUCUUCCUCUUACUGUGUGUAUUUUUUGAGUUUUCAGUGAGCUGGUGAAAAUGCUAUGCCAGUGGAAUUGGGGAUUUUGUGGUGAUCAGUGAAUAAGAAAAGGAAAAAAAUGGCGCGGUGUGUUCUAUGUUGAGAAAAAAAAGAAUCCAGUGGUGUGUAUAUUCUGUGUAUAUGGAUUGGUCAAGAAGAAAAGAAAAUCCCCUGUACCUGUGUGUUUUUGGAAAAAUGGAUAAGAAGUCCAAAGAGAAAGGAAAAAAAGGCCUCCCCUAAUCUAUUCCAGUGAAUGGAAAUUAUAUUGAUGGAAUGUGGGGUCCAUGAGUGAGGUGUCUAUUUUGAUUGGGUAAGUUAUUAGGAUGAGGUGUAAAGUUGGUUAGGAUAGAAUUAAAACAAGAUAAAAUUUGUUAAGGAUUAUGUUAAGGGUUGUUAUUAUUUUUUUGUAGGGUAUAAUUAUAUGGAUGAGGGUGUACAAUAAAGUGAGGUAAAAAUGAAUAAAAUUAGACUUGGGAGGGAUAAAAUUAGGUAUCUACGACAUGCCCCCUUUGAAUGUAAACAUGAAGUGUUUUCAAACAAAGAAGUAGACAACGAGAUAAAAUUUUGUCCCAACUAUUAUUCAAAAAGAAUGAAAUAGAAAGAAGGAGGAAAACCAAGUCUUGACUUUGGAAAUCAUACUUAUCCCUAGUUAUGGGGGAAUCAAGUCACAGGUAUCCCAAGGACUGAAAGAAGAGGGACUAUACCGAGUUGGAGAGUCGAGCGAGGUUCUGUCGAGGUUCCGAUCUGCGGCUCUGUCAUUACAUCAAAACAAAAAUUACAAGUUAAAACAUAAAUGAAAUUACAAAAGUCCUCUCUAUGCGGUUUCUUUUGGACUUUUGACUUGAGUUUUAUCACCCUAUUCUUCAGGUGGGCUCCUGACUUGCAAUUUCUUUAACUUGUUGCCUGACUUUUAAUUUCUUCAUUUUGUUAUUUGACAUUCCAUUUAUUCGCCUUGUGCUUCGGGCGGGCUCCAAUUUUGCUUGAGUUAUCAAAACAAGGAAGUGCGUCUCCUCACAAAUGCCGCUUGAAUUAUCCAAACAAGGAAGUGCGUCUCCUUACAGAUAUUGCUUGAAUUACCAAAACAAGGAAGUGCAUCUCCUUACAAAUGCCGAUUGAAUUACCUAAAUACGGAAGUGCGUCUCCUUACAAAUGCCACUUGAAUUACCGAAAUAAGAAAGUACAUCUCCUUACCAAUGUCACUUGCAUUACCUAAACAAGGAAGUGCGUCUCCUUACAAAUGCCGGAUGAAUUACCCAAAUAAGGAAGUGCGUCUCCUUACAAAUGUUGCUAGAAAUACCCAAACAGGAAAGUGUGUCUCCUUACCAAUGCCUCUUGAAUUACCAAAAUAAGAAAAUACGUCUCCUUACCAAUGCCGCUCAAAUUAACAAAACAAGGAAGUGUGUCUCCUAACAAAUAUCUCUUGAAUUACCCAAACAAGGAAAUGUGUCUCCUUACCAAUGCCGCUUGAAUUAUCCAAACAAGGAAGUGUGUCUCCUAACAAAUAUCUCUUGAAUUACUCAAACAAGAAAAUGUGUCUCCUUAUCAAUGCCGCUUGAAUUAAACAAACAAGGAAGUGUGUCUUCUCACCAAUGUUGCUUGAAUUACCCAAACAUGAAAGUGUGUCUCCUCACAAAUGUCAAUUGAAUUUCCCAAAUAAGAAAGUGUGUCUCCUCACAAAUGCUGCUUGAAUUGCCCAAACAGGAAAGUACGUCUCCUUACAAAUGUCUCUUGAAUUACCCAAACAAGGAAGUGCAUCUCCUUAUAAAUGUCGCUUGAAUUACCAAAAUAAGAAAGUGCAUCUUCUUACAAAUGUUGCUUAAAUUGUCCAAACAAGGAAGUGUGUUCCCUUACAAAUAUUGCUUGAAUCACCCAAACAAGGAAGUACGUCUCCUUACGAAUGUUGCUUGAAUUACCAAAAUAAGGAAGUGUGUCUCCUAGAGAUAUUGGAUUAUAAGUUUUACCAUGGCUUUGAAUACCAAAUCUGUGCAACAACAUUGCCUCUUGUAUUUGUAAAAGUGAGAAUAUUAUGGCCUUUGAAGUUUACGCUUUGAAAUCCUUGAUUCGAAGGUAGCAUGCGUUCCUGUUUCAUACAAAGAAAACUUGUUAGUUUAAAACAUGGUGGCUGGUUUGUGGCUUUGGCUUUUGGCAAUUGUUCUUGCCCCCGUCACAUUUAACCUUGCUUCCAACCGUUACAUAUAUCAUUGACUUAAUGCAUCAUUGAUCCAAACUCAGAUUAUUAAGAAUGACAAUGAAACAAACACCGUAUCUUUGCUUUGCCAUGCUCUUCAGAUAAACCCUUUGACCUUUGGUAUUUCCAUGAGUUCCCAGACUUGUCUGUUAACAAAACUUUCUAUAUACCUUAUUUCAGCUCACAAUCAUGUCUCUUUCAUGUGUUGGCCUUUUGUCUUGCUUUGGGCAAUUGAAGAAGCUGGUAGUCAGUUUUAAAAUCUUUUCUCACUUAUUUUGAUAUGGACUUAACUCAAAGACAGGAGAAAAAUGACAAUAAUUUUUAUUUUAUUUGGGUAAUUGAAUCAAGAAAAUAAAAAUAAAAAUAUAACUAAAGAGAAGAAAAAAAAAACAAUGAAUGUCCCCAUUGAAAAAGAUGAAAGAAAAAUUAUCUGAAAAUAAUAGUCAACUCUAAUGAUUAUGACAUGCAUUUUGAAUUAAGCUAUCUGAUCUUUCCAUCCAAACUUUCUACCAAUUGUUGUUGAGUUAAUGGACUUGAAACUAAGUUGUUUCCUUAGGUCAAUUGCAUUUAAGACCUCAUUCAGCUAGUGACACCUUGAAGGGCUUUCACCAACAAGCCUCUCUCAUUUUUUUUUCUCAGUUCACCAUUGUCUUAUGGUUUCUGUGAGGAUUUUUCACCAAUAGGACUCUCUUAUUUCCAUUUGUCUCAACUCACUGUCGUCUUACAGUGCCCGUGAGGGUUUUCACCGAUAAGACUCUCUCAUUGUUAUCUCUCUCAGCUUAUCAUCAUCUUACGGUGCCCGUGAGGAUUUUCACCGAUAAAACUCUCUCAUUUUUAUUUCUCUCCUGAUUCCUUAUGCUGAGAAAUACAAGUAUUUUCCAAAAUGAGUCAUCACAUCCUUUGCAUGCUUAGCCUUAACAUUCUCAAAGAUUGAUCUGAAGGUCUUUCUUUGGUUGUAACUUGGCUUUUGGAUAAGGUUAGAAAGAAAGGAUGACAUGAAGCCCAAACGACACUUGAAGUAGGAUGGGACUUACAACUUUUGGAAUCGACUCAAACAACGAGGAUUAACUCAUGCCCCAGUUUCUUUUGGAUAGGUGACUCUAAAUUUUUUAUUUGGUUAGACCGAUCCCAGAGUAGGGCAGCCUAUGUAUUUCACCCCCGAGAGAGGAGAAUCAGGUCACGCAUAGUUCUGGUGGUUUUUUUUGCUUAAUUCUAAUUUCUUUUCUUUUGACCUUUUUUCUUUGUGAUUUUCCUGACUCUAAUUUCCUGACACUCUUUUCUUCCUUCGUGGACACAUUUUUCUCUCUUUUUUUUUUGAAACUUUCUAACUUUAUUCUCUUACUCGAUACCUUUCUUUUGAGCUUUGCUGACUCUAUCUUGAUUUCAAAAGAGGGGUAUGAAAGAAAAUAGGACUAAAGCUCAAAUGGGGUAGACAAAGGAUGACAUAAUAUUUGGAUAACAGAAUGAAAUGCCUUCGUCAUAUCAAUCCUUGAAAAUGCCAGUACAUAACAUGCAAUUUGAAAGUUGGAGAUGAAGAUCAUGUGUGACAUCUUUUACAACAUUAACUUUGACUGAGUCUGUGCGUCGCUUCUUCUUCUGUGCUUUUCUAGCAUACAACUCCAACUUUGUUGUACAUUCCUUAUAUUGAAUGACUCAUGAUUUUGUGGAGCUGAUUUUCUUUCCGUCCCUCUUGAUAUAGGAUCACGCAUCUACUGUUUGACCUAAUUGAGGCACGCCUUACAAUUGAUGAUCGAGUUAUUCUUGUGAUUCUCAAAAUAAAUGGCCUUAAUUUUCAAAGAAGGCUUGAACUUGUCACUAAAUUUCUGAGCACUCUAUAUAUUUUCUCAGAUGCUCUCUUUUUCUAACUUUAAACCUCGGAUUCAAUGUUAAUGCUUAAACUAGAUUUUAAGAUCUGGCUGAAAAUUCCGUUAGCAUGUUAUAUCACUAGAGUCAACAUAAAAUGUACUAUGAAAAGAAAACAAAAAAAACAUAUUUAAAACACAAAGGAAAAAGGGACACUCUAUUUAAAUAAAAUGAAAGAUAGAAGGGUUUGAAUAUAAUGACAAAUGGACAAAACAAGAUAGAUCCCGAACUACAACCCUGAAAUAAUUCGGAUAACAGAAAAUAAAACAAAAUAAACUACCAGACCUCUUUCUAAAAGGGAGAGGGGUGACUUCUCAAUCGCUCAGCCUGACAUCCUAACCACUGGUUUGCAUAUUAGCAUGACUAGAACUUCCACAACGAUCAGACACAUUCCCUUCAACAAUUAAGUUUUGGGUCCUCAUGUUUAACUCAUUGCUUCCCAAAUUUCAACAUCUCAAAGAUUGGAGGAAGGUUAGCACUUGAAGGCAUGCCUCAGUCUUUGUAUGAAACAUCUUCUUUACCCGCAAGCCCUAGAGAAUUUUUCAUAGCAUUUUCUGCACUCUUUAUUUUUCCAACCAUUUUCUCUGACUCUUCUGGCAUACUGGACUUCUUGUUAAGAAAUUUUGAUAGUCCAGUUAACUUAAAAGCAGGCUCAGGAGUAUAACAAUGAUCACCAAGAAUAUUGAAUAUAGGUUCACUAGCAGCAUAGGGACGCACAACCGUUGGGCGAGCCAGUUUGGAAGUCCCAGUAGAGGAUUGAGAAACAAGAUCACAGACAACAUGCGAUGUUAUGAAUGUAGCAGGCUUAUCUGAGGAGCUAGAGAAAAAGUGGUGGGAGUAUUGAGAUGCUUUUGGCUUGGAAUGAAUUCUGAGUCAUGUUGCGGUGCAUCAACAAUAGUAGAAAACUACGUUCUGAUUUUGGUGGAAAACUCGAGGUAUUUGUAGGAUCAAUAAAGGAAAAUGGAGGAGGAGGCAACCCACUGGCCCAAACUCGAUGCAUUUCUGUCAUUUGUUGUCUUAGCCUCCUAAUCUCUUGCUUCAAACUCUCAUUUUCCUGAUUCUUUAUUUUAUCCAUGAUGUCACUCUCUAUAUCUUUGUUGGACACAACUAACAGUUUGGAUUUGGUGUGAUGUGAAGGACCAGCCAGAAUGCCACAAACCAACCACCUUAAACUGACUUAACAAAAAAAACAACAAAUGUGUUAGAGUUCAACACUUUUUCAAAACCUCUUUUUCAUUUUUUUUUUGAAAAGAUCACCGAACCCAAGAAGAGAGCCUAUGUAUAUCACUCCCGAGAUAGGAGAAUCAGGUGUGCGUUGUUCGUGAAGUCUUGCCAAAAUGGCCAACUAAACUAUUUUUCCUUUAUUUUUUUUUCUUGAAACUUUAAAAAGAAAAGGAAAUAACAAAUUGUCAAAAGAAUUGACGAAAAUCUUUUUGUAUUUUUCAAGUUUAAACUCCCUAUACAAAAUGAAACCUAUGAUUACCAAAGAAAAAUCUUUUUGAGUUUUCGAUUUUGAAUUUCAUAUGAAAAUGAAACUUGAACCUAUUAAAGGAAAAAUCUUUCUUAAAGUUUUCUUUUAAAGAUGUAUAUGAAACACCUACUCUAAUAAAGAGUGAAGAAAAUCUUUCUUUUUUUUUAAUUUUUCAAAUAAGAUCCCCGAACCAACAAUAGACUGCCUACGUAUCUCACUCCCGAGAGAGGAGAAUCAGGGGUGCAUAGUUCGUCCAGAUUGGACAAAUAAGGAUUAAAGAAUUAACUAAACCUUGACUUGAGAGACACAACUACAACGACGAAAAUAAAAUCUUUUUGGGGAUUUUCACUUUGACACUCCACAUAAAACUGACACCAACAACUAUGAAAGAAAAAAUCUUUUUGAUAUUUUCAUUACAUGAAAUGUACAAAACUUCUACUACCUUUUUUUUGAAUUUUUCUUUUAUAAAAAGCUCCUAAAAAAAUCGUUUUGAAGUUUUCGAAUUGUGAAUGCUUGCUAAAUGAAACAAAAGGAAAAUCUUUUUGAUGUUUUCAUAGGCUAGCGAGGAAGGAGGCGAAGUCAGCAGUCACGGCAGCUAAGACGGCCGCUUUUGAGAGCUUGUAUGUAGGGUUACAGGAGAAAGGAGGGGAGAAAAAGUUGUUUAGACUCGCUAAGGCUAGGGAGAGGAAGGGUCGUGACCUCGAUCAGGUGAGGUGCAUUAAGGGGAAGGACGGUAGAGUGUUGGUGGAGGACGGCCACAUUAAGAAGAGAUGGCAAUCGUAUUUUCAUAGGCUCUUGAAUGACGAAGGGGAUAGAGCUAUUGUGUGGAUUUUAGCUAUUGUAGACGUUUUAAGGUAGACGAGGUUAGACAGGCAGUCCGCAGGAUGCGAAGGGGUAGGGCGACGGGGCCGGAUGAGAUACCGGUGGAGUUUUGGAAGUUCGUUGGAGAGGCUGGUGUAAGGUGGUUGACUGCAUUGUUCAAUGAAAUUUUCAGGACGGCAAAGAUGCCCGAGGCGUGGAGGUGGAGUUCCAUGGUCCCUCUCUAUAAGAAUAAGGGGGACAUUCAGAGUUGCAAUAACUAUAGGGGGAUUAAGUUAUUGAGUCACUCUAUGAAGAUCUGGGAGAGAGUAGUCGAGGUGAGGCUGAGACGGAUAGUGUCUAUUUCGGAAAACCAGUUCGGAUUUAUGCCCGGCCGCUCGACGACGGAGGCAAUUCACCUGGUACGGAGGUUGGUGGAACAGUAUAGGGAGAGGAAGAAGGAUCUGCACAUGGUGUUCAUCGACCUGGAAAAGGCGUACGACAAAGUCCCAGGGAAGUGCUUUGGAGAUGCUUGGAGGUGAGUGGAGUACCGCAGGCAUAUAUCAGAGUAAUUAAGGAUAUGUAUGAGGGAGCGAAAACCCAGGUGAGGACGGCGGGAGGAGACUCAGAGCAUUUCACUGUCCUGACAGGAUUGCACCAGGGAUCUACUCUUAGUCCCUUUUUGUUUGCGUUAGUAAUGGAUGUGUUGACGCGGCGUAUCCAAGGGGAGGUGCCGUGGUGUAUGCUUUUUGCAGACGAUGUAGUCCUGAUAGAUGAGACUCGAGGGGGUGUGAAUGACAAAUUAGAGUUGUGGAGGCAAACUCUGGAGUCUAAAGGGUUCAGGGUGAGCAGAACCAAGACAGAGUAUGUGGAAUGUAAGUUUAAUGACGUGAGGCGGGAGAAUGAGGUAGUAGUGAGGCUAGAAGCACAGGAGGUAGGGAAGAGGGAUAAGUUCAAGUAUCUCGGGUCCGUGAUCCAGAGUAACGGUGAGAUUGACGAGGAUGUCUCGCACCGUAUUGGGGCGGGAUGGAUGAAGUGGAAACUCGCAUCGGGGGUGCUGUGUGAUAAGAAGGUGCCGCCCAAGCUUAAAGGCAAAUUCUAUAGGGUGGUAGUCCGUCCGGCCUUGCUGUAUGGAGCGGAGUGUUGGCCAGUUAAGAACUCCCACAUCCAAAAAAUGAAGGUGGCAGAAAUGCGGAUGUUGCGCUGGAUGUGUGGACUGACCCGAGGGGAUAGAGUUCGGAAUGAGACUAUCCGGGAGAAGGUUGGUGUGACUUCAGUGGAGUGUAAGAUGCGGGAAGCACGAUUGAGAUGGUUCGGACACGUGAAGAGGAGGGGCACGGAUGCCCCGGUCCGUAGGUGUGAGAGGCUAGCGUUGGAUGGUUUUAGACGGGGUAGGGGUAGACCGAAGAAGUACUGGGGUGAGGUGAUUAGGCGGGACAUGGAACAGUUACAGCUCACCGAGGACAUGACCCUAGCAUGUUUUAUUACGAAUCUGUGUGCUUUCCUCUGCUUUCCUCUGUUUUAUAUUACUUAUGGGUGCCGUAUUUAUGUUAUGUAAUCGGCUUCUAUGCUUUACUAUGUGUUUGUGUGGUAUCUCGUGCCUUGAGCCGGGGGUCUAUCGGAAACAACCUUUCUACUUCAUCAGAGGUAGAGGUAUGGACUGCAUACAUCUUACCCCCCAGACCCCACUAGGUGGGAAUACACUGGGUUUGUUGUUGUUGUUGUUGUUGUUAUUUUUGAAAAAUAAGUGCAAAAAGUAAAAAAAAGUCUUUUUUUUUUUAAUUUUUGAAUCGUGGAAAACAAAAGUCAUAAAGAACUCUAAAAACUACAAAACUCUCUUUUUUUCUUUUCGACUCACUUUUCACUUUUUUUUUAAUAUUUUUUUCUCAACAUUUCUUGCCUAUGCACUUUACUUCUAACACAUGUUUUCUCCAAAUCAGUCCAUCAAAUGACCAUGUUACCCUCCAAGAUGCAACAUUUAGCACAUAGGGAUGAUUUAGAGGUGAGUGUCCUACAAAGGACCACAUGGGUCCCGCUAGGUCUCAAUAUGAUGUGGAUAAGCAUGACCUAAAGGCUGACCUACGCUAGGGUUUACUAACAAGGUUGUUCAGGGGGGCAUAUAGUCGAUAGUGGCUGCUUUACUUUCCACCCACUCCAUACGUCCGACGGCUCCCUCUCCUAAAAUAAGGGUGACUCAACUAGAGUUUGUAUACACGACGUGCACUCCAGGACUUGUUGCAGAAAUAAUUGAGACUCAACUAGAGUUUGUAUACACGACGUGCACUCCAGGACUUGUUGCAGAAAUAAUUGACUCGGGUUAAGCACAUGAUGCCAGAUAUAAAACGGUAACAUAUAGGAGAAAAAAUGUAAACACGUAGCAUGUAAGCACUCAACAAUGAUAAAAUAAACACAAACAGUAAUACAAACAAUGUUUAUACACUCAUAAUGUCAAACUAAGCCGAUACAACUCCAAAAAUAAACUCGAAUUCUGAAAAACUCCCCAGCAGAGUCGCCAGAGCUGUUACACCCCUUUUUAACUCCAAAAAAGAUUAUUUUUAUGGGUUUCAAAAGGGUUUUAUUUAUUAAAUUGACAAAAAUGAGGAUUUGUUUCGAAAAAGGUUAAUUUAUAUUUUUUAUUCAGAGUCGCCACUUGACAUAAUCCGGUGUGCCAAGACACCUUUGGAGAAUCCUUUUCGAAAUGAUUUGACUCUUUAAAAAAUCGGUUUGUGAACAAAGAUUCCGACUAAGGAAUUCUGUUGACCGAGGGGGAUGGUGUUAGGCAUCCCUCGAUCUCAUGGUUCGACCACGGUCGCUUGGUGGAGCAUAUCAGCUAAUUUGACAUUACAAAUGUACAAACCACACAAAAACACACAAACAAUCAAUCAAACACAUGAAACAAAACAAAUCCAAAAUAUAGUGUUCAGUCCAAUUAUACAGUUCAAAAUAAAAAAUGCGAAAAAAUAAAUCCUAUUCUAACCUACACUAAUCCUGAACUAUGCUCCAGUGCUUUACCCGAUGCCUCGGGCCUUCAUCACGGGCGUCCUUCGAGUACAAAAUACUGUGGGUUAUUCCCCAACAAAUAAACAAAAAUACCUCGGGGCAUUUUCCGGCCAAAUAAUACAUUUGAUCCAAAAGCAAUAAAAUCAAGCCAUUCAACACAUGUUUCGAGCAUUCAACAUUCCACAAUUCCUAAAAUUUGCCAACCCGAACCUACUAUUUGCCUACCCAACUCGACCUAUCAUGGAACUAUCACGAUCGACGACGUCAAUGAAUCAAAACAACAAAAAAAUUAAAAUUAAUCCUAAUUCACUUUAGCAAUUUUUCAAUUCCGCACCAAAUUCAUUCUCAACCAAUGAUUAACACAUGCAUCGAUUAUCAAUUCAUUUUUCAACAUUCAAAUCCAACAUCAACCAAUACACAAUCAAGAUUCAAACAUAACAACACAUAAAUCAUUCACGAUUACGUAAAAAUUAAAAAAAGAAAAGAUAGAAUUAGACCUCAGUGCUUUCAAAAAUCAAUGUAUUAUUUCGAUCAACCCGGUAGAAUCCGCGUCCGAAAUCCUCGAACAAAACCCCCAAUCACGAUCAAGAAUCCAACUCGGUAUCAAGAAAGUGAAGCCCAAAAUUGAUUACGGUGAAUUGAUCAGGACGAAACAAAAUCUAAAUCCCAAAAUCAGUUCGAAGACAGAUGAGCUAAGACCAAAAUUGCAACAGACUAAAUCGAACCCGUUAAAAUUCUCAGCAAACGAACUCACAACUUGAACAAAAAAAAACCCCAAAACCCGAACUAACCCGAACAAUCCCACUAAACCAUUUCAAUUUUUAUCAUUUUUCGACGAAAAUUGGUCAGAAUAAACUGAAACGGCUCAAAUUUUUAUGGAUUAGAUGGAUGACUUACCUUUCGACGAGAUUCGGACGAAAAACCGGGAUCGGGACUGACUUCUUGAUGUGAGUAUGGUUGGAACGAGAUUAGCGGAGCUUUCUCGGUGGCGAUUCUAGUGAGUCACCGGCGAGAACUUCGCCGGAAGGCAGUCCAACGGCCUCUAUGUCUCUCUCUCGAUCUCUCUGGCUCGCUCAAAUCUCUCUUACCUUCAACGAUUUCUCACUGUUUCUCUUUUAACUCUCUAUGCCUCUCUCCAUCUCUCACUCUCACUCUCCUCUCUUCUCCUUACCGUGUGUAUUUUCUGAGUUUUCAGUGAGCUGGUGAAAAUGCUAUGCCAGUGUAAUUGGGGAUUUUGUGGUGAUUAGUGAAUAAGAAAAGGAAAAAAAAUGUGCGAUGUGUUCUAUGUUGAGAAAAAAAAGAAUCCUGUGGUGCGUAUGUUCUGUGUAUAUGGAUUGGUCAAGAAGAAAAGAAAAUCUCCUGUACCUAUGUGUUUUUGGAAAAAUGGAAAAGAAGACCAAAGAGAAAGGAAAAAAAGGUCUCCCCUAAUCUAUUCCAGUGAAUGGAAAUUAUAUCGAUGGAAUGUGGGGUCCAUGAGUGAGGUGUCUAUUUUGAUUGAGUAGGUUAUUAGGAUAAGGUGUAAAGUUGGUUAGAAUAGAAAUAAAACAAGAUAAAGUAUGUUAGGGAUUAUGUUAAGGGUUGUUAUUUUUUUUUUUUUUGUGAGGUAUAAUUACAUGGAUAAGGGUGUACAAUAAAGUGAGG
RNAcentral lists this long non-coding RNA (13599 nucleotides) under Capsicum annuum. Its description in RNAcentral is "long non-coding RNA (CANN_LNC003725)". The record is from RNAcentral. Lineage: Eukaryota; Viridiplantae; Streptophyta; Magnoliopsida; Solanales; Solanaceae.